GACGAACGCUGGCGGCGUGCUUAACACAUGCAAGUCGAACGGAAAGGCCCUGCUUUUGUGGGGUGCUCGAGUGGCGAACGGGUGAGUAACACGUGAGUAACCUGCCCUUGACUUUGGGAUAACUUCAGGAGACUGGGGCUAAUACCGGAUAGGAGCUCCUGCUGCAUGGUGGGGGUUGGAAAGUUUCGGCGGUUGGGGAUGGACUCGCGGCUUAUCAGCUUGUUGGUGGGGUAGUGGCUUACCAAGGCUUUGACGGGUAGCCGGCAUGAGAGGGUGACCGGCCACAUUGGGACUGAGAUACGGCCCAGACUCCUACGGGAGGCAGCAGUGGGGAAUAUUGCACAAUGGGCGGAAGCCUGAUGCAGCAACGCCGCGUGCGGGAUGACGGCCUACGGGUUGUAAACCGCUUUCGCCUGUGACGAAGCGUGAGUGACGGUAAUGGGUAAAGAAGCACCGGCUAACUACGUG
Molecule: ribosomal RNA, 468 nt
Filed under: uncultured bacterium
Lineage: Bacteria
Description: partial 16S ribosomal RNA
Rfam family: Bacterial small subunit ribosomal RNA
Source: RNAcentral